GUGCUCACUUUGGCAGCACAAAUACUAAAAUUGGAACAAUACAGAGAAGAUCAGCAUGGCCCUUGCGCAAGAUGACAUGCAAAUUCGUGAAGCAUCCCAUGUUUUU
Small nuclear RNA from Echinops telfairi (small Madagascar hedgehog), 106 nucleotides. The record is from Ensembl. Lineage: Eukaryota; Metazoa; Chordata; Mammalia; Afrosoricida; Tenrecidae.